UGCGUAGGCGGUUAGUUAAGUCUGUUGUGAAAUCCCCGGGCUCAACCUGGGAAUGGCAAUGGGAACUGGCUAGCUAGAGUGUGUCAGAGGAUGGUGGAAUUUCCGGUGUAGCGGUGAAAUGCGUAGAGAUCGGAAGGAACAUCAGUGGCGAAGGCGGCCAUCUGGGACAACACUGACGCUGAAGCACGAAAGCGUGGGGGAGCAAACA
Molecule: ribosomal RNA, 208 nt
Filed under: uncultured bacterium
Lineage: Bacteria
Description: partial 16S ribosomal RNA
Rfam family: Bacterial small subunit ribosomal RNA
Source: RNAcentral